UACAGAGGUCUCAAGCGUUGUUCGGAUUCAUUGGGCGUAAAGGGUGCGUAGGCGGUGAAAUAAGUUGGAUGUGAAAUCCCGGAGCUUAACUCCGGAACUGCAUUCAAUACUGUUUUGCUAGAGUACUGGAGAGGAGAUUGGAAUUCACGGUGUAGCAGUGAAAUGCGUAGAUAUCGUGAGGAACACCUGCGGCGAAGGCGGGUUGCUGGGCCGACACUGACGCUGAUGCGCGAAAGCCAGGGGAGCGAACGGG
Molecule: ribosomal RNA, 253 nt
Filed under: uncultured bacterium
Lineage: Bacteria
Description: partial 16S ribosomal RNA
Rfam family: Bacterial small subunit ribosomal RNA
Source: RNAcentral